AUUGAACGCUGGCGGCAGGCCUAACACAUGCAAGUCGAACGGUAACAGAAAGCAGCUUGCUGCUUUGCUGACGAGUGGCGGACGGGUGAGUAAUGUCUGGGAAACUGCCUGAUGGAGGGGGAUAACUACUGGAAACGGUAGCUAAUACCGCAUAACGUCGCAAGACCAAAGAGGGGGACCUUCGGGCCUCUUGCUAUCGGAUGUGCCCAGAUGGGAUUAGCUAGUAGGUGGGGUAACGGCUCACCUAGGCGACGAUCCCUAGCUGGUCUGAGAGGAUGACCAGCCACACUGGAACUGAGACACGGUCCAGACUCCUACGGGAGGCAGCAGUGGGGAAUAUUGCACAAUGGGCGCAAGCCUGAUGCAGCCAUGCCGCGUGUAUGAAGAAGGCCUUCGGGUUGUAAAGUACUUUCAGCGGGGAGGAAGGGAGUAAAGUUAAUACCUUUGCUCAUUGACGUUACCCGCAGAAGAAGCACCGGCUAACUCCGUG
Molecule: ribosomal RNA, 490 nt
Filed under: uncultured bacterium
Lineage: Bacteria
Description: partial 16S ribosomal RNA
Rfam family: Bacterial small subunit ribosomal RNA
Source: RNAcentral